UUUGUGCAAUUUUUAUUUUUAGUAUUUUUAAUUUUUAUUUCAUUUUUGUAUUUAUCAUAGUGCUAUUGAGGUAUUUUCUAUUUGGGUAUGCACAGUUCAAGAUCAAUAUUAAUUCCAUUUGAUCGAGAAAUAGAAAGAACCAUACGUGCUCUCAGAAAAGCGGUUAGAGAAGUGACGUGUCGGAAAAAAAUUGAGAUUAAGCUAUUGAUUAACUUAAC
RNAcentral lists this long non-coding RNA (218 nucleotides) under Lathyrus oleraceus (garden pea). RNAcentral describes it as "Pisum sativum (pea) long non-coding RNA (PSAT_LNC014764)". The record is from RNAcentral. Lineage: Eukaryota; Viridiplantae; Streptophyta; Magnoliopsida; Fabales; Fabaceae.